Non-coding RNA from Camellia sinensis, 924 nucleotides. Lineage: Eukaryota; Viridiplantae; Streptophyta; Magnoliopsida; Ericales; Theaceae. The record is from RefSeq and is a predicted model, not a curated record.
CCCCCUCUCGGUUUUUGCUGCUAGAUAAAACCCCGUUCUCACGAUUGGAAGUUCUCUCCCUCUCACAAUUGCACGUCGGCGUAGAUAUUUGUUGACCGUCGGGUUUUCGCCAUUUACCGUUGCUGUGCUACACCAUCGCCUCUUCAUUCUGGCUUGAUAUCAGAGCACAUUGAAGAUGCCACUGUCUACUUAGAUGCAGGAUGUACAGAGAGUUUCGAGUUUCUUGGGGCAUACCCUCUGCUACUAGAAGUUGGAGCACAUGCUGUUUGCAGCUUGGAAAACAUGUCUUCUCUUGAUAUGGUUCCAUGUGUUACAUGUUUGGGUCUAUACAAAUGGAGAAUGUUUACGUCCCCGAAAAUGAGGCAGGUAUGUGGCAGUGGCUAUUUGGCAAGAGUAUGACUAGCAUAGUUCUUCUCAAUAUCAGUUCAAGUGAUGGAUUUGCUGGAAUUACUGCUCCGUUAGCCAGAAUUCUCCCAGUUCGGAUCAUGCCAGAUUUUGGGUUAUUAGUUUCUUUUUUUGGUUCUAACUCUUGGUAUUUGAUCAUGACUGUGAAUUCAUCUCAUAUGUCACCAACUUGGUUUCUUUUUAUGUUAUUUGAUUUGAAUUAUCUUAUUUUUACUUAUCAAAAUAAUUGAACUUUAUUUUGUAGAUUGAUUUAGCAAUGUUUGGUGGUGAACUAUUGUGCCAGGUACAGCUAAUUUAUUGUUUAUUAUUCUCUUGUUAUGCUAAGAAAUUAUUUGAAAUUCUUUUUCCCCUAUUUUACUAUUGUCGAUUGGGAUAUUUUUCUUUUUGGUCAAUGCCUUAACUCAAUUAUGUUGAGAUUUCUUCAUGCAUUUCCCUUAAAUCUCAGUCCUCUAAAUUUACGAGUUUAUAUUUUCAUUUAUGACAAUAUUAAUAAUAAAAAAAAAUCUUUUUCUUUCUUGA